CCUCCCGUGGGUCACUUCUCUGUUAUCAAUCUCCGCUCCUCUAUCUCUCUCUCCACCUGGAUCAGUUUUCUAUUGAUUGACUUCGGCUCCCUGGAGGAUGUCAGGGGAGAUUUCACUUAGGCCAGAACGAGACAUCAUUUAGUCUCUGUAGGGGAAAUUAGCGCGCCAGAAAGACUCUUGAGUGGCCUCCUGGGAACUGUAGUUUUCGGCUGCGCUGGGGCGUCUGGUAGUUGUGGUUUCCCCGGAAAAUCUUGGUCGGGAGAGUAGCUGAAACCUGGAUGGAGCAUGCUGGGUCUGGAGUCCCAAGACCCAUGUAAGAUGACCUAUUAUUGAGAGACAGUGCGGUAAAGUAGAUAAAGUGUUGUGCUUGGAGUUGGGAAAGCCCGCGGCUAGCAUUCUGCCUUCUGCACUCACUCUCUGUGUGACCACAGGAACUGCUAGACUAUGAAGAUAGGAGGGUCUGCUUAUCUGCAAAGGACCUCAGCUGCACAAGCAUAUUAUCCCAGCCUGGGACGGACUGGCUGGCUGCUGUCUUGCCUCCAAGGACACAUAGAGAAUCCAGCUUUGGGGUGCAACAACAAAUUAUGUCAACUCAGGAGGAGCGUCUUCCUUGACGCAUUCAAGGCCUUCUGCAUGCUCUGGGUCCAAAUAUGGCAACUUAAAAGACAAGUUCAGGCGACCUUUUAACAACUCUUAACAUAUCUCACACUUCCACUGGCCUGCACCGUACUGUAUAACCUCUUUCACUCUCCUAGGCUGCUAACACAGGGUCUUUAUUUCCAUGGCCUCACUGUCAACUCACUAGUUGGAGAGGAAAGAUGGACAAGUUGCUCUCCCACUCUCUGGGGAAUAGAGUAGGCCGUACUUUUUCCUCUGUGACCAUCAUCUUCAGACUGUCCUCUGAGCUCUAUCCACAGGCCCCUUUCCUCCACUAUGAAAGAAUUCCUGAUUUGUGUAAGCAAAUGAAGAUAGAGACAGUGAGAUAAUGGAUGGGGGAAGUUACUUUGAAAACUAUAAAACACUAUAAAUGUAAGAUGAUAUCCUAUUAUAAAAUGAUAUAACUCAGAUUUGGAUACGCUGUCUGAGUAACCUCACUACAACACUCUAAAUCCUCGGUUUUAGCCAGUAUGAGAGGCUCUAUUCCAUUAAAAUAAUUAUCUUCACAGAAAGUACAUUGAAUAUAGAAAUAUGAAAACCUAACAGCUGCAUGUUUCAACAGCAUUUGCAGACAUACAAAAGUGUUGUUGUCCAUCAUUCUACAAGAAGACCAAAAUGACGUCAUUAUGCUAGAUCCAAAUUACAGUGUGUCU
Phascolarctos cinereus (koala) is the source of this 1310-nucleotide non-coding RNA. The record is from RefSeq and is a predicted model, not a curated record. NCBI's taxonomy places the organism in Eukaryota, Metazoa, Chordata, Mammalia, Diprotodontia, Phascolarctidae.